GGUAGUAAUUAAACCAAUAUGUAAUGGCGGUCAUCAUAUUUUAGAGAAACUCGCUUCAUAAUCGUAAACACUCGAUAAAUUUUACUUUUUUUAUAGUCUAUAUACCGCCGUUUCAGGGUUUAAAACAACUAAUAGCCCAUAAAAUAUAAAUAUAAAAAAUCAGGUCAAGGUGUAGCAAAUAAAGAAGAAGAAGUAAGUUACAUUAAAAACAAUUUAAGGAUUCUAUAUCAAAUAUAAAAAUGAAAAAGAAUUUAUAUGUAAGUAUUAAUCAAAAACUAAUACUGAACAAAAUAAUGAAGAUGC
This 303-nucleotide ribosomal RNA is filed under the name Pholcus jinwum. RNAcentral's name for it is "partial 12S ribosomal RNA". The record is from RNAcentral. Lineage: Eukaryota; Metazoa; Arthropoda; Arachnida; Araneae; Pholcidae.